ACGAACGCUGGCGGCAGGCCUAACACAUGCAAGUCGAACGCCCCGCAAGGGGAGUGGCAGACGGGUGAGUAACGCGUGGGAACGUGCCCAAUGGUACGGGACAACUCCGGGAAACUGGAGCUAAUACCGUAUGUGCCCGAGAGGGGAAAGAUUUAUCGCCUUUGGAUCGGCCCGCGUCUGAUUAGCUAGUUGGUGAGGUAAUGGCUCACCAAGGCGACGAUCAGUAGCUGGUCUGAGAGGAUGAUCAGCCACACUGGGACUGAGACACGGCCCAGACUCCUACGGGAGGCAGCAGUGGGGAAUAUUGGACAAUGGGCGCAAGCCUGAUCCAGCCAUGCCGCGUGAGUGAUGAAGGCCUUAGGGUUGUAAAGCUCUUUCGCUCGCGACGAUAAUGGCGGUAGCGAGAGAAGAAGCCCCGGCUAACUUCGU
This 429-nucleotide ribosomal RNA is filed under the name uncultured bacterium. RNAcentral's name for it is "bacterial SSU rRNA". It matches the Rfam family "Bacterial small subunit ribosomal RNA", at positions 29 to 506 of the family's 1533-position model. The record is from RNAcentral.